CAAAAUCUCACAAAGGUUAAUAAUCUACCGUAAAUGAUGCACAAUUUAGAAUUUAGUCAUACUUAACAUACUAAGAUGCAUAGAAAAUCAAUCACAUCACAACACAAGUCUUUAAUCAACAAAACAUAGAAAUUACUCAUGUAAUACUUGCAAUCCAAAAACCAAUGAAAAAGCAUGCCACUCUUUUAAAAAUAAAUAAGAAAACAAGUAAGUAAAUGAAAAACAUUAAAAACAAGAAAACACACAAGUAA
This 251-nucleotide long non-coding RNA is filed under the name Lathyrus oleraceus (garden pea). RNAcentral's name for it is "Pisum sativum (pea) long non-coding RNA (PSAT_LNC042083)". The record is from RNAcentral. Lineage: Eukaryota; Viridiplantae; Streptophyta; Magnoliopsida; Fabales; Fabaceae.